This 396-nucleotide ribosomal RNA is filed under the name uncultured bacterium. Its description in RNAcentral is "partial 16S ribosomal RNA". It matches the Rfam family "Bacterial small subunit ribosomal RNA", at positions 523 to 918 of the family's 1533-position model. The record is from RNAcentral.
AUACGUAGGUGGCGAGCGUUAUCCGGAUUUACUGGGUGUAAAGGGCGCGUAGGCGGGGAAGCAAGUCAGAUGUGAAAUCCAUGGGCUCAACUCAUGAACUGCAUUUGAAAAUGUUUCUCUUGAGUGCCGGAGAGGUAGACGGAAUUCCUAGUGUAGCGGUGAAAUGCGUAGAUAUUAGGAGGAACACCAGUGGCGAAGGCGGUCUACUGGACGGUAACUGACGCUGAGGCGCGAAAGCGUGGGGAGCAAACAGGAUUAGAUACCCUGGUAGUCCACGCUGUAAACGAUGAAUACUAGGUGUGGGGGGACUGACCCCCUCCGUGCCGCAGUUAACACAAUAAGUAUUCCACCUGGGGAGUACGGCCGCAAGGCUGAAACUCAAAGGAAUUGACGGGG